This 326-nucleotide unclassified non-coding RNA is filed under the name uncultured fungus. Its description in RNAcentral is "partial contains 5.8S ribosomal RNA and internal transcribed spacer 2". The stretch from base 1 to 133 matches the Rfam family "5.8S ribosomal RNA", at positions 22 to 154 of the family's 154-position model. The record is from RNAcentral. Lineage: Eukaryota; Fungi.
UGGUUCUGGCAUCGAUGAAGAACGCAGCGAAAUGCGAUAAGUAGUGUGAAUUGCAGACUUUAGUGAAUCAUCGAAUCUUUGAACGCACAUUGCGCCCCUUGGUAUUCCAUUGGGCAUGCCUGUUCGAGCGUCAUCUACACCCCGCAAGCUUCGCUUGGUGUUGGGCGUCUGUUGCUGCCCCGUGCAACAACUCGCCUCAAAUCUAUUGGCAGCGGCUCGUUGACAGCUCUUUUGCGCAGCACUUCGCGCAUCUAGGGCUCGUCCACGGCCUGCGUCCACAAAGAUCUCUCCAGUUUGACCUCGAAUCAGGUAGGGAUACCCGCUGA